Molecule: long non-coding RNA, 3486 nt
Organism: Bacillus rossius redtenbacheri
Lineage: Eukaryota; Metazoa; Arthropoda; Insecta; Phasmatodea; Bacillidae
Exons: 2
Source: RefSeq, a predicted model, not a curated record
CAAGAAAGUGGUCAAAACUUUGACUAUGUGUAUUGGGACGACCCCAAUGAAUUAGUAGAUCGCCUUAGACUGUUACACGCUUCGCUUUGUGCAGGAAACUAUUCACACAUCAACUAAAUAGUCUCCAUACUCGAAGAACUGAGGGAAGCCAGCUACGUACAAUGAGUAGAACCGGAAUCGCUCACGAACUUCAUGCUCCUGCUAGACGAAAAUACCUCGUCGCAAAGUUAUAGUUCACGGAAUUGAUGUUUUAUUCCAGGCGGACCUUGUUGAGAUGAUACUAUAUUCCCGAUUGAAUAAAGGUUUCAAGUACAUGUUGACAGUAAUCGAUAUUUUUAGCAAGUUUGCUUGGGCUAGACCUGUAAAUUCAAAGACUGCCACUGAAGUAGCAGAGGCCAUGAACAAACGGAUCUCUGGAAAGAAUUCUACAAUGCAGCCUUCAAGGCUUUGAUGAAGAAGUAUGGCACCAAACACUACUCUACAUUUAGUAAUGUCAAAGCCUCCGUUGUCGAAAGGUUUAACAGAACUUUGCGUUCCAAGAUGUGGCGACAGUUCACGGUUAAUGGAAAUUACAAGUGGGUUACAAGGCAACAGGCUACAUGACUAUAUGACUAAGCAGCUACAAGACUACAAGAAAACAAUACUACGAGGCUACAGGACUACAAGUCUACGAGGCAACAGGACUAUGAGCCUACGAGACUACGAGACUACGAGACUACGAAGUUAAGAGACUACGGGUCUACAAGACAACAGGCUACGAAGCUACAAGACUGCGAGGCUAUUGACUACGAUGCUACAGGACUACAAGAUUACGAGGCAACAGUACUAUGACACUACGAGUGAGUCUACGAGGCUUCAACUAUCUACGAGACUGCGAGGCCACAAUUCCGUUCUUUGACUUCCGUUCCAUUUUCAAUAAAUUAAUCCUACCAAAUGCUGUAUACUGUAAACUAAAAUGUUUACACAUCAUAAAAUGUUAAUUUUAAAAAUAAAAUUCUUUGAGCGUAUGCAUAGAGGAGAAGCUGGUAUCUAAUUCAGUCGGCGCAGUUGUUUACGUUCCUUCCAAGAGCCGGCCAGCGUGUCCGAGCCAACACCGAUGCCACUCGGCUGUCUGCAGGGAAGUCUCUGUCUCAGUGCUCUGCGACUGCCGUGCUCAGCCGUCACACACCUCCAGUUGUACAGACUCUGUAUGAACUAUCAGAGAAAGUUAAAAUGAGACUACUUUUUGACAAAUUAUCUCUCUGCUUUUGUUGUGCUUCACAUUUUGUUUGGGUCGCCGAUUGGCUCGGAAAUAAUUAUUUUGGUAAUUUUACACGUAAGUUGGUACUGCUACUUUUGCACAUUUGAAUGGGUUAUUUGUAUUGUGUAAUUUAACGGUAGUUUUAAGUUUUAAUUAAGUUUAUAACCUUAAUUUUUUUGUAGGAGUAUUUAGAACAUGGCCUUUUUCAGUUCACGCUAUUGCCAAUAUUUUGGCUGGUGUGUCACGUGUGUGUACUGUACGCCACCUCGCCGUGUGAUGGAAAAGAGGGGAAGUGAGCUCUGUCGAACGGCUGAGCGAGUGGGGGAGGAGAGGUGUUGGUCAAUUGGUUUCUGUGUGGAGCGGAACAAUACACCGUGUUUGUGGAAAGACGGCGCCCUUUGCGAGUUUGCGUUAUUUCGCUAGAAGAAGGAGACGCCGAUGAUACGCCAAGCAAGGGGGUGUUGGUCGCUAGAUUUUGUGGCGAGCGGGCAACCACAUUUUCGCAGGCCGUGUGGGCCGCAAACACUGCCAAUAGCGUACGCUGGGACUUAGCGUACGAUGAUCGUGAUGGGUAAGCUGCAAUCAAGACUUCGAUCAAGUUUGCUCCUUCCUCUACUCGUGGAAUUGUGGAUCCGUGAGUGCCUUGGCAUCUGGUGGUGGAAGCUGCAACUACUGUUUGGGAGUCUUGUGUAGUGAUCGGCCUCCCCAACCUCAGCGUGUUUUGGGACAUUGUUGUGGUAGCUACGCAUCCAUAACGAACAGGACUUACCCCUGAAGUGACUUUCACUCGCGAUACAUGCCUGUUUAGUGGGUGGCCGAUCCCACAGGCUCUCCACUUGAAAAAAAAACGUGCUCGCGCCCCACCCAGAGCCGUGCAGUGAAGGGAAUAACCACGUGACUGAGAAGCGGUCAUGUGACCCAUCACAUGACCAUCCUCCCCCCCAUCGGUCCGGACUGAAGUAGGAGUAACCACGAGGUUCUGGAUGGUCGGAGAACAUAGGGUAAGGGGGCCCGAGAGAUAUAUAGACCCCGACCUCGCUGCUUAAGGUGCAGUCCAUCAGCAGAAUAUCGGUGACCAUUGGAAGCGCUGCACCGCCACAACAAGACCUGCCGCCGCCCUGCCUGGACCAACAAGAAGACCAUCACUCUGCCCGAACGAACACUGAACUCCGGUACGGGACUUAGCCUCUGCGAAGGAUAAGCUGGACUUAGCUAUUUUUCGUCGUCAGUCUGAUUUAGCCCAAUUCGCAAGGAGCAACGCCGGAGUGCUACAAGGUGGUCAACGACUAAGUGCCAAAGGUAUUGAACAAUGCAUAGAGGGUUGACUGUGUGUCGACCAAGAGACUCGUUGGAAAAGGGAUUGAGGAGGGCACCAGGUAUUAGCAUGUCCGAGACAGAGUCGAACAAUAACAUUGGGCAAUGGUAUGGGCAAGUGCAUGUUGACAAUGUGGUCAGACAGAGACUGGCAAACAAAGACUGUGUGUGACAACUCCCGAUUUAGAUUUGUGUACACCAUUAUUGACACACACAUCGUAUAGCAGUGUUCACUCGGAAGUUACGAGACACUAGAGUGUGACAAGUGCCGACAUCGCUAAAGCCCAGCCAAGGGGAUUAGUGGCAUGUCCUUUUCAACUCUCUUCGCAGUCAUCAAGGGAACUUCAGGUUCCUGGACAGCAGUGCACCAACGAAGUCCAUCCACGACAUCGUUAGGGAAGCAGGGCGCUGUAUGGCCAGCGCACAUCUGACAGUGACGACUCGGCGAGCGACGCCAGGGACAGGACGACCCAACUAGUGUUGAGGCGAGUGUCGGGGUAUUUUGAUAAUGCGAGGGGUCUAUAACAAGUAAAUUUUGUUGUAAGCCACAAGGCGGCCUUGAACUUACUUUUAAUGCAUAAUAAUAUUUUUUAAAACAACUAAGGACAUAAUGGUCUUUUGUAAUUUUUCUAUUAUAUAUACCUAUAUCAUUAAGCUACAUACAUUGUAACUCGCUGUUGUUUCUUAGAGUAUGCGAGCUUAAGAAUUUUAAGAAAAUUUAUAAGUCUUGGUAAUAAUUAAAUAUGCUGCAUUUUUGUAUCAUGUUAAUUGUUAACAUAUGUGUUAAUUUUUGUGUUGGCAGCCAACUGGUAUAUUCAAGCGAGACCAGCCCAAGAACGAAUAUUAAUAUUCGAAGACAACUUGAGAGGGUCAUAUUAACAUGUUUAUUCUCUCUCAUUAAUUUAUUUUAAUAAAUCUUGCUACUCUCACAA